Molecule: ribosomal RNA, 437 nt
Filed under: uncultured bacterium
Lineage: Bacteria
Description: bacterial SSU rRNA
Rfam family: Bacterial small subunit ribosomal RNA
Source: RNAcentral
AUUGAACGCUGGCGGAAUGCUUUACACAUGCAAGUCGAACGGCAGCACGGGUGCUUGCACCUGGUGGCGAGUGGCGAACGGGUGAGUAAUGCACCGGAACGUAUCCAAUAAUGGGGGAUAACGCACCGAAAGGUGUGCUAAUACCGCAUACGCCCUGAGGGGGAAAGCGGGGGAUCGUAAGACCUCGCGUUAAUGGAGCGGCCGAUGCCGGAUUAGCUAGUUGGUGAGGUAAAGGCUCACCAAGGCGACGAUCCGUAGCUGGUCUGAGAGGACGACCAGCCACACUGGAACUGAGACACGGUCCAGACUCCUACGGGAGGCAGCAGUGGGGAAUUUUGGACAAUGGGCGCAAGCCUGAUCCAGCCAUUCCGCGUGCAGGAUGAAGGCCUUCGGUUGUAAACUGCUUUGUACGGUAACGAAACGGUGAGCUCUAAUAC